AACGUAGGACACAAGCGUUAUCCGGAAUUAUUGGGCGUAAAGAGCUCGUAGGCGGUUUGUCGCGUCUGCCGUGAAAGUCCGGGGCUCAACUCCGGAUCUGCGGUGGGUACGGGCAGACUAGAGUGAUGUAGGGGAGACUGGAAUUCCUGGCGUAGCGGUGAAAUGCGCAGAUAUCAGGAGGAACACCGAUGGCGAAGGCAGGUCUCUGGGCAUUAACUGACGCUGAGGAGCGAAAGCAUGGGGAGCGAACAGG
Molecule: ribosomal RNA, 253 nt
Filed under: uncultured bacterium
Lineage: Bacteria
Description: partial 16S ribosomal RNA
Rfam family: Bacterial small subunit ribosomal RNA
Source: RNAcentral